Molecule: ribosomal RNA, 2903 nt
Filed under: Enterobacter cloacae
Lineage: Bacteria; Pseudomonadati; Pseudomonadota; Gammaproteobacteria; Enterobacterales; Enterobacteriaceae
Description: 23S ribosomal RNA
Rfam family: Bacterial large subunit ribosomal RNA
Source: RNAcentral
GGUUAAGCGACUAAGCGUACACGGUGGAUGCCCUGGCAGUCAGAGGCGAUGAAGGACGUGCUAAUCUGCGAAAAGCGCCGGCGAGGUGAUAUGAACCCUUGACCCGGCGAUGUCCGAAUGGGGAAACCCAGUGUGAUUCGUCACACUAUCGUUAACUGAAUACAUAGGUUAACGAGGCGAACCGGGGGAACUGAAACAUCUAAGUACCCCGAGGAAAAGAAAUCAACCGAGAUUCCCCCAGUAGCGGCGAGCGAACGGGGAGCAGCCCAGAGUCUGAAUCAGCUUGUGUGUUAGUGGAAGCGUCUGGAAAGUCGCACGGUACAGGGUGAUAGUCCCGUACACGAAAGCACACAGGCUGUGAACUCGAAGAGUAGGGCGGGACACGUGGUAUCCUGUCUGAAUAUGGGGGGACCAUCCUCCAAGGCUAAAUACUCCUGACUGACCGAUAGUGAACCAGUACCGUGAGGGAAAGGCGAAAAGAACCCCGGCGAGGGGAGUGAAAAAGAACCUGAAACCGUGUACGUACAAGCAGUGGGAGCACCUUCGGGUGUGACUGCGUACCUUUUGUAUAAUGGGUCAGCGACUUAUAUUCUGUAGCAAGGUUAACCGUAUAGGGGAGCCGAAGGGAAACCGAGUCUUAACUGGGCGUUAAGUUGCAGGGUAUAGACCCGAAACCCGGUGAUCUAGCCAUGGGCAGGUUGAAGGUUGGGUAACACUAACUGGAGGACCGAACCGACUAAUGUUGAAAAAUUAGCGGAUGACCUGUGGCUGGGGGUGAAAGGCCAAUCAAACCGGGAGAUAGCUGGUUCUCCCCGAAAGCUAUUUAGGUAGCGCCUCGUGAACUCAUCUUCGGGGGUAGAGCACUGUUUCGGCUAGGGGGCCAUCCCGGCUUACCAACCCGAUGCAAACUACGAAUACCGAAGAAUGUUAUCACGGGAGACACACGGCGGGUGCUAACGUCCGUCGUGAAGAGGGAAACAACCCAGACCGCCAGCUAAGGUCCCAAAGUCAUGGUUAAGUGGGAAACGAUGUGGGAAGGCCCAGACAGCCAGGAUGUUGGCUUAGAAGCAGCCAUCAUUUAAAGAAAGCGUAAUAGCUCACUGGUCGAGUCGGCCUGCGCGGAAGAUGUAACGGGGCUAAACCAUGCACCGAAGCUGCGGCAGCGACACUCUGUGUUGUUGGGUAGGGGAGCGUUCUGUAAGCCGUUGAAGGUGGCCUGUGAGGGUUGCUGGAGGUAUCAGAAGUGCGAAUGCUGACAUAAGUAACGAUAAAGCGGGUGAAAAGCCCGCUCGCCGGAAGACCAAGGGUUCCUGUCCAACGUUAAUCGGGGCAGGGUGAGUCGACCCCUAAGGCGAGGCCGAAAGGCGUAGUCGAUGGGAAACAGGUUAAUAUUCCUGUACUUGGUGUUACUGCGAAGGGGGGACGGAGAAGGCUAUGUUAGCCGGGCGACGGUUGUCCCGGUUUAAGCAUGUAGGCGGAGGUUCCAGGUAAAUCCGGUACCUUUUAACGCUGAGGUGUGAUGACGAGGCACUACGGUGCUGAAGUAACAAAUGCCCUGCUUCCAGGAAAAGCCUCUAAGCAUCAGGUAACAUCAAAUCGUACCCCAAACCGACACAGGUGGUCAGGUAGAGAAUACCAAGGCGCUUGAGAGAACUCGGGUGAAGGAACUAGGCAAAAUGGUGCCGUAACUUCGGGAGAAGGCACGCUGAUAUGUAGGUGAAGCCCCUGCGGGUGGAGCUGAAAUCAGUCGAAGAUACCAGCUGGCUGCAACUGUUUAUUAAAAACACAGCACUGUGCAAACACGAAAGUGGACGUAUACGGUGUGACGCCUGCCCGGUGCCGGAAGGUUAAUUGAUGGGGUUAGCGGCAACGCGAAGCUCUUGAUCGAAGCCCCGGUAAACGGCGGCCGUAACUAUAACGGUCCUAAGGUAGCGAAAUUCCUUGUCGGGUAAGUUCCGACCUGCACGAAUGGCGUAAUGAUGGCCAGGCUGUCUCCACCCGAGACUCAGUGAAAUUGAACUCGCUGUGAAGAUGCAGUGUACCCGCGGCAAGACGGAAAGACCCCGUGAACCUUUACUAUAGCUUGACACUGAACACUGGUCCUUGAUGUGUAGGAUAGGUGGGAGGCUUUGAAGCGUGGACGCCAGUCUGCGUGGAGCCAUCCUUGAAAUACCACCCUUUAAUGGCUGGUGUUCUAACGUAGACCCGUAAUCCGGGUUGCGGACAGUGUCUGGUGGGUAGUUUGACUGGGGCGGUCUCCUCCCAAAGAGUAACGGAGGAGCACGAAGGUUAGCUAAUCCUGGUCGGACAUCAGGAGGUUAGUGCAAUGGCAUAAGCUAGCUUGACUGCGAGAGUGACGGCUCGAGCAGGUGCGAAAGCAGGUCAUAGUGAUCCGGUGGUUCUGAAUGGAAGGGCCAUCGCUCAACGGAUAAAAGGUACUCCGGGGAUAACAGGCUGAUACCGCCCAAGAGUUCAUAUCGACGGCGGUGUUUGGCACCUCGAUGUCGGCUCAUCACAUCCUGGGGCUGAAGUAGGUCCCAAGGGUAUGGCUGUUCGCCAUUUAAAGUGGUACGCGAGCUGGGUUUAGAACGUCGUGAGACAGUUCGGUCCCUAUCUGCCGUGGGCGCUGGAGAAUUGAGGGGGGCUGCUCCUAGUACGAGAGGACCGGAGUGGACGCAUCACUGGUGUUCGGGUUGUCAUGCCAAUGGCACUGCCCGGUAGCUAAAUGCGGAAGAGAUAAGUGCUGAAAGCAUCUAAGCACGAAACUUGCCCCGAGAUGAGUUCUCCCUGAGACUUUAAGUCUCCUGAAGGAACGUUGAAGACGACGACGUUGAUAGGUCGGGUGUGUAAGCGCAGCGAUGCGUUGAGCUAACCGAUACUAAUGAACCGUGAGGCUUAACCUU